UGCCUAUGAUGCAUUUAUUUGCACGUAUUAUCAGACAUCCAAAUGAUGAUAUCGGAUUGUCACUACCUCUGAGGCA
Small nucleolar RNA from Camellia sinensis, 76 nucleotides. RefSeq annotates it as small nucleolar RNA snoR122. The record is from RefSeq and is a predicted model, not a curated record. NCBI's taxonomy places the organism in Eukaryota, Viridiplantae, Streptophyta, Magnoliopsida, Ericales, Theaceae.